RNAcentral lists this unclassified non-coding RNA (841 nucleotides) under Bradyrhizobium sp. RNAcentral describes it as "partial 16S-23S ribosomal RNA intergenic spacer". The stretch from base 723 to 841 matches the Rfam family "Bacterial large subunit ribosomal RNA", at positions 1 to 118 of the family's 2925-position model. The record is from RNAcentral. Lineage: Bacteria; Pseudomonadati; Pseudomonadota; Alphaproteobacteria; Hyphomicrobiales; Nitrobacteraceae.
UCGGAUCGUUUUAGAAACAUCAGUGGCCAACAGAUCGCCAGAUCGUUGAGCUGCAUUGGCGGGAUUUCGCCGUCUUCGUUUCUCUUUCUUCGCGGACGAACACGCGCUGGGCCUGCAACGGCAGGAUCCAGGGUCCUUAACGGGAUGUGCGUUAGGGGCUUGUAGCUCAGUUGGUUAGAGCGCGCGCUUGAUAAGCGUGAGGUCGGAAGUUCAAGUCUUCCCAGGCCCACCACUUUCAUCGAGUGAGCAUUCGUCUUCUGGUUACGGGGCCAUAGCUCAGCUGGGAGAGCGCGUGCUUUGCAAGCAUGAGGUCGUCGGUUCGAUCCCGUCUGGCUCCACCAGAUGGUUUGAUCACCGAGAUCUUGACCGUCGUCCGCGAAACAUCACUUCGCAUCCUGCUAGUCUGGAUAGACAGCAGUUUGCGUGUUUUCUGACAUCGUAAAGAGGAGAUCGAUCCGAGUUGGGUCGUGCAGCAUAUCGUUGCGCGAGCCUUCAUUAUCUCCGGAUCAUUUCGGCGCUCGCUUCCAGCCGUGAGGUUGGAUGCGGGUUGUAAAUGAUCCUUUUAGCGAAGCUUGACCGCCUCGCUAUCGGAACGAUCUUACGAAGCAAGCUGGUCUUUCUAGUCAAUGUCCGGCUGCAGAUAGCGUUCAUCGAGGGCGCGUGCCGCAAGGCAAUUCUGCAGACAACAUUCUGCCGAGUGUGUGGACAUUGAUAAUGAGAGCAAUCAAGUGCCUUAAGGGUGUUCGGUGGAUGCCUUGGCGCUGAGAGGCGAUGAAGGACGUGCUACGCUGCGAUAAGCCGUGGGGAGCUGCGAAGAAGCUUUGAUCCGCGGAUUUCCGAU